GGAAUAGUCAACUGUUACUGCUUUGGGAAUAUAAGAUUUAAGGCACAGAGAAGACCUGACAUGGCUGAUCCCAUGUACUGUCCAAAAGCAGAACUGCUUCCCUGAACUAGUCUCCAAGACGACAACCAGAGUUGAGUUUUAACAAUUAAAAUACAACCAAAUUUUACGGUAAAUCAGCUUCAGUCGAUGCAGCUACACGAGAGAGGCAGCCCCAAAGAGGCACAACUCGAGCCUGCAUGAAACACGCAGUUAACACAUCGUGAUGUCCCACAGAUGUUCAGGAACAUGGAGAACACACACCCAAACAAAAACCCGCGGCAAGAAACCUCCCUUUUAAUUAAACCUG
Long non-coding RNA from Chiroxiphia lanceolata (lance-tailed manakin), 346 nucleotides. RefSeq lists it as uncharacterized. NCBI's taxonomy places the organism in Eukaryota, Metazoa, Chordata, Aves, Passeriformes, Pipridae. The record is from RefSeq and is a predicted model, not a curated record. The transcript has 3 exons.